GCGGCAUGCCUAACACAUGCAAGUCGAACGAACCCUUCGGGGUUAGUGGCGCACGGGUGCGUAACGCGUGGGAAUCUGCCCUUUGCUUCGGAAUAACAGUUAGAAAUGACUGCUAAUACCGGAUGAUGUCUUCGGACCAAAGAUUUAUCGGCAAAGGAUGAGCCCGCGUAGGAUUAGGUAGUUGGUGGGGUAAAGGCCUACCAAGCCGACGAUCCUUAGCUGGUCUGAGAGGAUGAUCAGCCACACUUGGACUGAGACACGGCCCAGACUCCUACGGGAGGCAGCAGUGGGGAAUAUUGGACAAUGGGCGAAAGCCUGAUCCAGCAAUGCCGCGUGAGUGAUGAAGGCCUUAGGGUCGUAAAGCUCUUUUACCCGGGAUGAUAAUGACAGUACCGGGAGAAUAAGCCCCGGCUAACUCCGUGCCAGCAGCCGCGGUAAUACGGAGGGGGCUAGCGUUGUUCGGAAUUACUGGGCGUAAAGCGUACGUAGGCGGUUAUUCAAGUCAGAGGUGAAAGCCCGGGGCUCAACCCCGGAACGGCCUUUGAAACUAGGUAGCUAGAGUCUUGGAGAGGUCAGUGGAAUUCCGAGUGUAGAGGUGAAAUUCGUAGAUAUUCGGAAGAACACCAGUGGCGAAGGCGACUGACUGGACAAGUACUGACGCUGAGGUACGAAAGCGUGGGGAGC
Molecule: ribosomal RNA, 684 nt
Filed under: uncultured Alphaproteobacteria bacterium
Lineage: Bacteria; Pseudomonadati; Pseudomonadota; Alphaproteobacteria
Description: bacterial SSU rRNA
Rfam family: Bacterial small subunit ribosomal RNA
Source: RNAcentral